RNAcentral lists this small nucleolar RNA (130 nucleotides) under Dasypus novemcinctus (nine-banded armadillo). Its description in RNAcentral is "Small nucleolar RNA SNORA63 (ENSDNOG00000037612.1)". The record is from RNAcentral. Lineage: Eukaryota; Metazoa; Chordata; Mammalia; Cingulata; Dasypodidae.
AAGAAAACCUUUGCCAAUAUAGCUGAUAAGUGCUGUGUUGUCUUUCCUGCUGCUAAAAAUAAAGUUGUUUCUUAUCUAUCCCUGUCUGCUGAACUCUUUGUAGCAUCCAGGGACAUUUGGUCUCAUACAA